This 791-nucleotide ribosomal RNA is filed under the name uncultured bacterium. Its description in RNAcentral is "bacterial SSU rRNA". It matches the Rfam family "Bacterial small subunit ribosomal RNA", at positions 8 to 796 of the family's 1533-position model. The record is from RNAcentral.
AGAGUUUGAUCAUGGCUCAGAUUGAACGCUGGCGGCAUGCCUUACACAUGCAAGUCGAACGGCAACACGGGAGCAAUCCUGGUGGCGAGUGGCGAACGGGUGAGUAAUACAUCGGAACGUGUCCUGGAGUGGGGGAUAGCCCGGCGAAAGCCGGAUUAAUACCGCAUACGAUCUCUGGAUGAAAGCGGGGGACCGAAAGGCCUCGCGCUCAAGGGGCGGCCGAUGGCAGAUUAGCUAGUUGGUGGGGUAAAGGCCUACCAAGGCGACGAUCUGUAGCUGGUCUGAGAGGACGACCAGCCACACUGGGACUGAGACACGGCCCAGACUCCUACGGGAGGCAGCAGUGGGGAAUUUUGGACAAUGGGGGCAACCCUGAUCCAGCAAUGCCGCGUGUGUGAAGAAGGCCUUCGGGUUGUAAAGCACUUUUGUCCGGAAAGAAAACCGCUUCUCUAAUACAGAGGUGGGAUGACGGUACCGGAAGAAUAAGCACCGGCUAACUACGUGCCAGCAGCCGCGGUAAUACGUAGGGUGCGAGCGUUAAUCGGAAUUACUGGGCGUAAAGCGUGCGCAGGCGGUUCGCUAAGACCGAUGUGAAAUCCCCGGGCUUAACCUGGGAACUGCAUUGGUGACUGGCGGGCUAGAGUAUGGCAGAGGGGGGUAGAAUUCCACGUAGCAGUGAAAUGCGUAGAGAUGUGGAGGAAUACCGAUGGCGAAGGCAGCCCCCUGGGCCAAUACUGACGCUCAUGCACGAAAGCGUGGGGAGCAAACAGGAUUAGAUACCCUAGUAGUCC